RNAcentral lists this ribosomal RNA (586 nucleotides) under uncultured bacterium. Its description in RNAcentral is "partial 16S ribosomal RNA". It matches the Rfam family "Bacterial small subunit ribosomal RNA", at positions 355 to 1375 of the family's 1533-position model. The record is from RNAcentral.
UGGGGAAUUUUGGACAAUGGGCGAAAGCCUGAUCCAGCAAUGCCGCGUGUGUGAAGAAGGCCUUCGGGUUGUAAAGCACUUUUGUCCGGAAAGAAAUCCUUGGCUCUAAUACAGUCGGGGGAUGACGGUACCGGAAGAAUAAGCACCGGCUAACUACGUGCCAGCAGCCGCGGUAAUACGUAGGGUGCAAGCGUUAAUCGGAAUUACUGGGCGUAAAGCGUGCGCAGGCGGUUUGCUAAGACCGAUGUGAAAUCCCCGGGCUCAACCUGGGAACUGCAUUGGUGACUGGCAGGCUAGAGUAUGGCAGAGGGUGGUAGAAUUCCACGUGUAGCAGUGAAAUGCGUAGAGAUGUGGAGGAAUACCGAUGGCGAGGGCAGCCCCCUGGGCCAAUACUGACGCUCAUGCACGAAAGCGUGGGGAGCAAAGCAGGAUUAGAUACCCUGGUAGUCCACGCCCUAAACGAUGUCAACUAGUUGUUGGGGAUUCAUUUCCUUAGUAACGUAGCUAACGCGUGAAGUUGACCGCCUGGGGAGUACGGUCGCAAGAUUAAAACUUAAAGGAAUUGACGGGGUCAUAGCUGUUUCCU